UACGUAGGGUGCGAGCGUUAAUCGGAAUUACUGGGCGUAAAGCGUGCGCAGGCGGUUUUGUAAGCCAGAUGUGAAAUCCCCGGGCUCAACCUGGGAAUGGCAUUUGGGACUGCAAGGCUGGAGUACGGCAGAGGAGACUGGAAUUCCUGGUGUAGCAGUGAAAUGCGUAGAUAUUGGGAGGAACACCAGUGGCGAAGGCGGCUACCUGGACCGGUUCUGACGCUGAGGCGCGAAAGCGUGGGUAGCAAACAGG
Molecule: ribosomal RNA, 253 nt
Filed under: uncultured bacterium
Lineage: Bacteria
Description: partial 16S ribosomal RNA
Rfam family: Bacterial small subunit ribosomal RNA
Source: RNAcentral